UAUUGGAGAGCACACGCCAUGUUUGAACAGACAUAGUGUGUUUUCUUCUUGUCAUAGGGGUACAUCAUGUCUAUAGAGCAGAAGGUGUCUUAUGCUUGUCACAUGGGUGAUUAGUUUAUCCUCUCUCGCUGGAGGGCUUACGCCAUGUAUACAAGGCAGCAGGUGUCUUCUGCUUGUCACAGGGUUAAUUAGUUUAUCCUCUCUCACUAGAGAGCUUACGUCAUGUCUGCAAGGCAGCGGGCAUCUUUUGCUUGUCAAAACUUAUACUGUAGACUGCCUGCCAGAAGCGCUACUUUUUAAGUAAGUAGGCAAGUUCGCGUAGUCAUAGCAGGCGUAAGUCUCGGCUUACAAAUUACCUUGGGUUGUCAAUCAUUGGGUUGUUGGUCGGAGGUCUUCCUUGCAAAAGCAGACGACCCACGUAACCACUUCAGGCGUCAUCCCUGGCUCUUAAAGGCAUUUUAGGCGUGAUGUGUAGGCGAAAUGUCGCCUUAAAGGCCAUAACCUACCGAGUCGCAACUUUGAUUUCCUAGGUUGCUUAACUAGUAUUGCAACACUUUAAAACUAAGUCACUUCAUGAAGAUUUACACAUCAAGGACAAACCAUCUUGUCACCAAAUUCUUUCAUGGGCAAGGGUCUUGCACUUAGCCUCUCUUCCGAUUAAAGACCCAAGAUCCCGCGGAAUUGAAUCCUUCAGUUGGCUAAGUUUAUUCCAGGGGAAAGACUAUCGUGGCCAAUUCUAGGAGUCGUCUGACUCAGGUAGUCGCUAUAUUCAGGGGAAACUGAACAGUCGUACCACCCAUCCACAUCUGGAUAUUCCGGAUUAGUUUACCCUCUCGUAUUAGAGAACACAUGCUAUGUCUGAACCGGUAUAGGGCGUUUUGUUCUUGUCAUAGGGGUACACCAUGUUCUGAACCGGUAUAGGGCGUUUUGUUCUUGUCAUAGGGGUACACCAUGUUUGUAGGGUAGAGGGUGUCUUCUGCUUGUCACAUAGGUGAUUAGUUUAUCCUCUCUCGCUAGAGAGCUUACGCCAUGUAUGUAAGGCAGCGGGCGUUUUCUGCUUGUCACAAGGUUAAGUAGUUUAUCCUCUUUCGCUGGAGAGCUUACGCCAUGUCUGCAAAGCAGUGGGCAUCUUCUGCUUAUCACAUGAUUGGUCAGUUUGUUUAUGCAUUUAGCCCAAGCUUGUGAAUAAUUCCUUCAAUCUACAUUGAAAAUAUAGACUUUUAUUAACUUUGCUCAUAAGCAGUAAUGGCAUAACAACUGAUAAUUCUUGGCAUGCGAGGUCUUGUUCGUCGAGUUGCUUGAGUCUUUAAACUUUUUUCAUCUUGAACAGGGUCCAAGGAAUGGUGAGAGGUCACACAUAGUACUUUCUUAAGUUGUAGGCAUUCCAUUGCCUAUCGAUUUCUUUGUCGCUUAUAAUGGUGAGGGUGUAGAUGCCCCUUCCGCUUACUCGGCUGAUUUUGUAUGUACCUUCCCAGAUAGAAGCCAACUUUUUGGAGCCUUCCCGUCGGGCAAUGAUGAAGGCUUUUCUGAGAACUAAGCCUCCUGGUUGGAACUACCAGAUUUUUGCCCUCUUGUUGUAGCUAGAGAGGAGCUGCUACUGAUAGGCUAUAAUACGGGUGAUAGCAUUCUCGUUCUUCCUCUGCCAAGUCUAAGUUGGUGGCCAUCUCAUUCUGGUUCUACUCGAAAUUCCGUAGUACUAUGCUGAUGCUUGGCACCAUGACGUUGGGAAGAACGUGAAGGGAAAUCUUUGAGAUUCAUGUAUGGGAUUUCUAAAUGACUAUCAUGCAUAUACAAAUCAAAUUUAAUAUACGAAAGCAGCGGAAGCAUUUAUAACAAAUUAUCAAAGCUAUAGUCAUGCAAAUCCCCUUCAAGGUUCAUAGGUUUAUAUAUAAUGCAUCAAAAACAUUUUAGAGAACCAAGAACAAAGUGAAGGUUUAGUCUUAUACCUCUUGAUCUAGAUUUAAGACCAAGGAUGGACCACCUCCAAGCCCUUUGCUCCUUGAAAUCCUUAAGCCUAGCCUCCCUCCUUACCUCCUCCACUUUGAAAGAAUGAGUGCUCCUAGGUUCUCUUCAAGUUUCCAAAGUUGAAAACCUCUAAAGAUCCUCACCCACUAGUGUAGUGAGAAGGAUGAAGGAAUAACCAAAGGGUGAAAUAUGUGUUAGUAAAAUCACCCCAAGGUGGCCGGCCUUUGAUGUGUUUUAGAGAGAUAUUUCUUUUGCCUCUUUGUUGUUUUAAACACACAAAAACCCUAAUAAACAAUAUCUCUAUAAAGUUCCUUAUAUAGACAAAAGAAACCUAGUCAACAACUUGACUAAAUAUCUCACCCUUUCCACCUAAAGUGGCUGGCCUUCUUUGUGUUGUUUGGGCUUUAGGCUUUCAUUUAUUUCAAGUCGUCCAAUGCUUGAAUAAAAGCCCAAUGGGUUUAGGCCCAAUGGGCCCAAUUAAACCCAAACGUUUCUUUAAGCCCAAAACGAUCUUUAUCGCUUUUAUGAUUUCUUUAGACUUUCUAAAUUAAUCACA
RNAcentral lists this long non-coding RNA (2521 nucleotides) under Malus domestica (apple). Its description in RNAcentral is "long non-coding RNA (MDOM_LNC013258)". Lineage: Eukaryota; Viridiplantae; Streptophyta; Magnoliopsida; Rosales; Rosaceae. The record is from RNAcentral.